GACGAACGCUGGCGGCGUGCCUAACACAUGCAAGUCGAACGGGUUUUGCACUUAGCACUUAAUGUUCUUAGGAGGAAGCCUGGAUAGUUGGCCGCAGCGUUAACUGCGAACAAAGUUCGCACAACGCUUAUUAGGAAAGCCGACCCAAGAAGCAGAGCGCUUCCAGGUGCCGAGUGGUAAAGCAAAGGAGUUAUGGCGUAACGAACUUUGUCGCACAACGCCAAACAAAAAAGCCAACACAUGCAAGGGGAAAGAACAUUAAGUGCUGAGUGCAAAACUAGUGGCGGACGGGUGAGUAACGCGUGGGCAACCUACCCAUAAGAGGGGGAUAACAGCUGGAAACGGCUGCUAAUACCGCAUAAGCUUACCGGGACACAUGUAUUGGUAAGUAAAGGAGGCUUAGGCUUUCGCUUAUGGAUGGGCCCGCGUCUGAUUAGCUAGUUGGUAGGGUAACGGCCUACCAAAGGCGACGAUCAGUAGCCGGCCUGAGAGGGUGGACGGCCACACUGGGGACUGAGACACC
Molecule: ribosomal RNA, 523 nt
Filed under: uncultured bacterium
Lineage: Bacteria
Description: bacterial SSU rRNA
Rfam family: Bacterial small subunit ribosomal RNA
Source: RNAcentral